CAGCACACAAUUACCCUCGUUCCAAUCACUGAAAUUCUUCACACAGAACUGCCAUUCAUAUUACAGUGUUUCACACAAACAUAGACUCAUUCUCUCUGCUGAACUACAAUCAGAUUUCAGCAUUCAAACUUUCUUCUUCUCAAAUAAUAUCAAUCACAUUUCCAUUCCAUAAUUCACUUCACAAUAUUCAGAAACUUUCAAUCCUCUUAUUCAAAGAAAAUAACAAACAAAAGAAAAGAAGUAGCACCAAGCUUAC
This 256-nucleotide long non-coding RNA is filed under the name Physcomitrium patens. RNAcentral's name for it is "long non-coding RNA (PPAT_LNC013628)". The record is from RNAcentral. Lineage: Eukaryota; Viridiplantae; Streptophyta; Bryopsida; Funariales; Funariaceae.